This is a non-coding RNA of Myotis davidii, 114 nucleotides long. The record is from Rfam. NCBI's taxonomy places the organism in Eukaryota, Metazoa, Chordata, Mammalia, Chiroptera, Vespertilionidae.
GUGGGCUACGGCGACAUGUGCCCGACCACCGCCGGGGGCAAGAUCGUGGGCAUCCUGUGCGCCAUCGCCGGCGUCCUGACCAUCGCGCUCCCGGUGCCCGUCAUCGAGAGAGAG